GCCGACAUAGGCAAAGGACGAAGAAGAGAGAGAACUCUGUGUUGCUUCUUCACAGUUGAGACAAAUCAUUAAAUGAAGACUGAUGUCGAGGAAAGUGAGUAACAGAGCUCAACACCAAACGGACAGGAAGUAAAAGAGAAGACAAGAAAUACCACCGGUCAUCCUGGCUGGUCAGCUAUGGGGAAUGAAGGGAGCCAGGUGAACUCGGCGGCAGUCGGGAUCGUCGUGGGCUUUGGUAUCCUGGUGAUCCUCUUCAGCAUUGCCAUUGUGCAAUUCUGCUGCAAGUACAAAUGCAAAAACUGCUGCAAGAAAAAGGAUCUGUCACUGAAAGACAAAGUGCUUAACAAAGUCGGCUUAAAGAAGUCUCCUCCUCCCUUCUCCAUCAGCAACGUCAUAAAAUGACGGCCGACUUGGUGGCAGUUGUUUCUGGCAACCUCCAUGAGAGAAGACACCCCCUCAUCUGUCACUUUCCUACGCAUCACUUAUCUUGUUUUCAGUAUGUUAUCUGUUCCUGCAUUUAAUGAUAUCAUUUAGGUUGAUGCUUUAACAUGAAUACUGUGGAGGGAUUUUCUUUCAUGUCAUAUUUACAUUACUUUGUGUAAUGUCAUAUAAAUAUACAGCAUAUUUCCUUGUGAAAAGAGUCUUGGUUUGAUAUGUUGUGGCUUCUCGGGAUAGAAACUUGCAGGCACACACACCACAGAAACUAAUGCAUACAUUCUGCUACAUAUGAGAAGCACUUUUGAGGGGGAGGAACGAUAUCAACAGCUUAACCUCUGCAACCAGGCUCAGGCUCAGAUCAGUUUUCUUGUAAACUGCAGGUGGCUUCCCUUCAAAGUCACAUAUCUACUACCUUCUUCAUACUUUCUAUAGUUGGCGGAACCAUGUCUCAUAGUUCUCGUAUAAUGAAACUACUGUAAAACGUGUUUCUCUGUAUCUGAUGUUUUUCUGAUAUGAGCUAAGGUGAAGAAAGGUCAACUUUUCAACAACAGGAGUUAAAAGUUUGUGAAUAUAAUGAUUUUAGGUGACUUCAGGCUGCCUUCUCUGCACAUAAACACUUAUGGCAGAUGAUCCACUCAUGGGGCUGCAAUGUUUAAAAGCUCUGCGUUUUAUCCAUAACUAAUAAAACAUUAAACAAU
Molecule: long non-coding RNA, 1136 nt
Filed under: Cottoperca gobio
Lineage: Eukaryota; Metazoa; Chordata; Actinopteri; Perciformes; Bovichtidae
Description: lncRNA (ENSCGOG00000007276.1)
Source: RNAcentral